Molecule: ribosomal RNA, 350 nt
Filed under: Clostridioides difficile
Lineage: Bacteria; Bacillati; Bacillota; Clostridia; Peptostreptococcales; Peptostreptococcaceae
Description: partial 23S ribosomal RNA
Rfam family: Bacterial large subunit ribosomal RNA
Source: RNAcentral
GGUCAAGUUAUUAAGGGUGCAGGGCGGAUGCCUUGGCACUAGGAGCCGAUGAAGGACGUGAUAAGCUGCGAUAAGCUUCGGGGAGUUGCACGUAAACUUUGAUCCGAAGAUUUCCGAAUGAGGAAACUCACUUAGAGUAAUGUCUAAGUAUCAUUAAGUGAAUACAUAGCUUAAUGAGGGGAACUCAGGGAACUGAAACAUCUAAGUACCUGAAGGAAGAGAAAGAAAUUCGAUUCCGUAAGUAGCGGCGAGCGAACGCGGAUUAGCCCAAACCAAUAAAGUUUUCUUUAUUGGGGUUGCGGACAUAUCAUAACGAAGAGGUAUCGUAAUUGAAGAGGUUUGGAAAGACC